CGGCGAGUGAAGCGGCAACAGCUCAAAUUUGAAAUCUGGCUCUCGGGCCCGAGUUGUAAUUUGUAGAGGAUGUUUCUGGCGACGUGUCUUCCGAGUUCCCUGGAACGGGACGCCAUAGAGGGUGAGAGCCCCGUCCGGUCGUACGCCUAGCCUCUGUGAAACUCCUUCGACGAGUCGAGUAGUUUGGGAAUGCUGCUCAAAAUGGGAGGUAUACGUCUUCUAAAGCUAAAUACCGGCCAGAGACCGAUAGCGCACAAGUAGAGUGAUCGAAAGAUGAAAAGCACUUUGAAAAGAGGGUUAAAUAGUACGUGAAAUUGCUGAAAGGGAAGCGCUCAUGACCAGACUUGGGCUCGGUGAAUCAUCCGGCGUUCUCGCCGGUGCACUUUGCCGGCCCAGGCCAGCAUCAGCUCGCCUCGGGGGAUAAAGGCUUCGGGAAUGUAGCUCCCUCGUGGAGUGUUAUAGACCGUUGCGUAAUACCCUGGGGCGGGCUGAGGUACGCGUUCUGCAAGGAUGCUGGCGUAAUGGUCAUCAGUGACCCGUCUUGAAACACGGACCAAGGAGUCGUCUUCGUAUGCGAGUGUUCGGGUGUCAAACCCCUACGCGUAAUGAAAGUGAACGUAGGAGAGAGCUUCGGCGCAUCUCCGACCGAUCCUGAUGUUCUCGGAUGGAUUUGAGUAAGAGCAUACGGGGCCGGACCCGAAAGAAGGUGAACUAUGCCUGUAUAGGGUGAAGCCAGAGGAAACUCUGGUGGAGGCUCGCAGCGGUUCUGACGUGCAAAUCGAUCGUCAAAUAUGGGCAUGGGGGCGAAAGACUAAUCGAACCUUCUAGUAGCUGGUUUCCGCCGAAGUUUCCCUCAGGAUAGCAGUGUUGAACUCAGUUUUAUGAGGUAAAGCGAAUGAUUAGGGACCAGGGGGCGCUUUUUAGCCUUCAUCCAUUCUCAAACUUUAAAUAUGUAAGAAGCUCUUGUUGCUUAAUUGAACGUGAGCAUUUGAAUGUAUCAACACUAGUGGGCCAUUUUUGGUAAGCAGAACUGGCGAUGCGGGAUGAACCGAACGCGAGGUUAAGGUGCCAGAGUAGACGCUCAUCAGACACCACAAAAGGUGUUAGUACAUUUAGACAACCGGACGGUGGCCAUGGAAGUCGGAAUCCGCUAAGGACUGUGUAACAACUCACCGGUCGAAUGUACUAGCCCUGAAAAUGGAUGGCGCUCAAGCGUCUCACCCAUACCUCGCCCUCAGGGUAGAAACGAUGCCCUGAGGAGUAGGCGGACGUGGAGGUCAGUGA
RNAcentral lists this ribosomal RNA (1284 nucleotides) under Hypocreales sp. MUT 2675. Its description in RNAcentral is "eukaryotic LSU rRNA". It matches the Rfam family "Eukaryotic large subunit ribosomal RNA", at positions 87 to 1403 of the family's 3401-position model. The record is from RNAcentral. Lineage: Eukaryota; Fungi; Ascomycota; Sordariomycetes; Hypocreales.